This 73-nucleotide transfer RNA is filed under the name Heterocephalus glaber (naked mole-rat). It matches the Rfam family "tRNA". Rfam says of the family: Transfer RNA (tRNA) molecules are approximately 80 nucleotides in length. Lineage: Eukaryota; Metazoa; Chordata; Mammalia; Rodentia; Bathyergidae. The record is from Rfam by way of RNAcentral.
GAAGGUGUAAUGCAAUGGUAGAGUGUUUGCUUAGCAUGCACAAGGCCCUGGGUUUGAUCUCCCAGCAUCUCCU